Molecule: ribosomal RNA, 409 nt
Filed under: bacterium
Lineage: Bacteria
Description: partial 16S ribosomal RNA
Rfam family: Bacterial small subunit ribosomal RNA
Source: RNAcentral
UGGGGAAUAUUGCACAAUGGGCGAAAGCCUGAUGCAGCGACGCCGCGUGAGGGAUGACGGCCUUCGGGUUGUAAACCUCUUUCAGUAGGGACGAAGCGCAAGUGACGGUACCUGCAGAGGCAGCACCGGCUAACUACGUGCCAGCAGCCGCGGUAAUACGUAGGGUGCGAGCGUUGUCCGGAUUUACUGGGCGUAAAGAGCUCGUAGGCGGUUUGUCACGUCGUCUGUGAAAUCCUAGGGCUUAACCCUGGACGUGCAGGCGAUACGGGCUGACUUGAGUACUACAGGGGAGACUGGAGUUUCUGGUGUAGCGGUGGAAUGCACAGAUAUCAGGAAGAACACCGAUGGCGAAGGCAGGUCUCUGUGUAGUAACUAACGCUGAGGAGCGAAAGAAUGGGUAGCGAACAGG